This 471-nucleotide ribosomal RNA is filed under the name uncultured Leptolinea sp. RNAcentral's name for it is "bacterial SSU rRNA". It matches the Rfam family "Bacterial small subunit ribosomal RNA", at positions 897 to 1382 of the family's 1533-position model. Lineage: Bacteria; Bacillati; Chloroflexota; Anaerolineae; Anaerolineales; Anaerolineaceae. The record is from RNAcentral.
AAACUCAAAGGAAUUGACGGGGACCCGCACAAGCAGCGGAGCGUGUGGUUUAAUUCGUUGCUACACGAAGAACCUUACCUGGGUUUGACAUAUAAGUUGUAGGGAACUGAAAAGGGACCGACCCUUCGGGGAGCUUAUACAGGUGUUGCAUGGCUGUCGUCAGCUCGUGUCGUGAGAUGUUCGGUUAAGUCCGCUAACGAGCGCAACCCUCACUGUGUGUUAUAUGUGUCACACGGGACCGCCGGUCUUAAGCCGGAGGAAGGUGGGAUGACGUCAAGUCAGCAUGGCCUUUAUAUCCUGGGCUACACACACGCUACAAUGGCCAACACAAUAGGUUGCUAAGCCGCGAGGUGGAGCCAAUCCAUAAAGUUGGUCUCAGUUCAGAUUGUAGGCUGCAACCCGCCUGCAUGAAGAUGGAGUUGCUAGUAACCGCAGGUCAGCUAUACUGCGGUGAAUACGUUCCCGGGGCUU